GAAGACGACGGCUCCGGCUUGCCUCUGCUCGUGAAUGACAUUUUCCAUAAGGCUAUCAUUGAGGUAAACGAGCAAGGGACCGAAGCUGCUGCUGCCACCAGGAAGCGCGGGCUUCUUGGAUGUCCGAUGUUGCCGCCGAAGGUCGACUUCCUCGCCGACCAUCCUUUCGCGUAUUUCAUAGUCGAAGAGGCUUCAGGUGCAACCAUCUUCGCAGGGCAUGUCGUGGACCCUAGCAGUGGCGGAGACAGCCAGGUGCCAGGUGCGGAUUGGACAACCCUAAAAUAG
RNAcentral lists this ribosomal RNA (285 nucleotides) under Triticum aestivum (bread wheat). RNAcentral's name for it is "partial small subunit ribosomal RNA". Lineage: Eukaryota; Viridiplantae; Streptophyta; Magnoliopsida; Poales; Poaceae. The record is from RNAcentral.